UGGGGAAUAUUGCACAAUGGGCGAAAGCCUGAUGCAGCAACGCCGCGUGAGUGAUGACGGCCUUCGGGUUGUAAAACUCUGUCUUCAGGGACGAUAAUGACGGUACCUGAGGAGGAAGCCACGGCUAACUACGUG
This 135-nucleotide ribosomal RNA is filed under the name uncultured Clostridium sp. RNAcentral's name for it is "partial 16S ribosomal RNA". It matches the Rfam family "Bacterial small subunit ribosomal RNA", at positions 355 to 507 of the family's 1533-position model. Lineage: Bacteria; Bacillati; Bacillota; Clostridia; Eubacteriales; Clostridiaceae. The record is from RNAcentral.